RNAcentral lists this transfer RNA (67 nucleotides) under Mesocricetus auratus (golden hamster). It matches the Rfam family "tRNA". Rfam says of the family: Transfer RNA (tRNA) molecules are approximately 80 nucleotides in length. Their secondary structure includes four short double-helical elements and three loops (D, anti-codon, and T loops). Lineage: Eukaryota; Metazoa; Chordata; Mammalia; Rodentia; Cricetidae. The record is from Rfam by way of RNAcentral.
UGGGGAUUGGCUCAGUGGCAGAGUGCUUGCCUAAUAUGUAUGAGACCCUGAGUUCAAACUCAGCCAG